UAGUCCACGCCGUAAACGAUGGGCACUAGGUGUUGGGAGGUUCGACCCUUUCAGCGCCGCAGCUAACGCAUUAAGUGCCCCGCCUGGGGAGUACGGUCGCAAGACUGAAACUCAAAGGAAUUGACGGGGGCCCGCACAAGCGGUGGAGCAUGUGGUUUAAUUCGAUGCAACGCGAAGAACCUUACCUGGGCUUGAACUGCGGUAGACAUCCUGUGAAAGCAGGCUUUCCUUCGGGACUGCUGUAGAGGUGCUGCAUGGCUGUCGUCAGCUCGUGUCGUGAGAUGUUGGGUUAAGUCCCGCAACGAGCGCAACCCUUAUCCUUAGUUGCCAUCAAGUAAUGUUGGGCACUCUAGGGAGACUGCCUCGGAUAACGGGGAGGAAGGUGGGGAUGACGUCAAGUCCUCAUGGCCCUUACGUCCAGGGCUACACACGUGCUACAAUGGUAGGUACAAAGGGCAGCGACUUCGCAAGGAGUAGCGAAUCCCAAAAGCCUAUCUCAGUCCGG
Molecule: ribosomal RNA, 505 nt
Filed under: uncultured bacterium
Lineage: Bacteria
Description: bacterial SSU rRNA
Rfam family: Bacterial small subunit ribosomal RNA
Source: RNAcentral